UUAGGAAUCUUCCACAAUGGGCGAAAGCCUGAUGGAGCGACGCCGCGUGAGGGAUGAAGGCCUUAGGGUUGUAAACCUCUAAAAGAGGGACGAUAAUGACGGUACCUCUUGAAUAGCACCGGCUAACUCCGUGCCAGCAGCCGCGGUAAUACGGAGGGUGCAAGCGUUAUACGGAAUCACUGGGCGUAAAGGGCGCGUAGGCGGUCUGUUAAGUCCGAUGUUAAAUCCCGGGGCUCAACCCCGGAUAAGCGUUGGAUACUGGCAGGCUAGACGGUUGGAGAGGCGAGUGGAAUUACCAGUGUAGCGGUGGAAUGCGUAGAUACUGGUAGGAACACCCAUUGCGAAGGCAGCUCGCUGGACAACACGUGACGCUGAGGCGCGAAAGUGUGGGGAGCAAACC
This 400-nucleotide ribosomal RNA is filed under the name uncultured bacterium. Its description in RNAcentral is "bacterial SSU rRNA". It matches the Rfam family "Bacterial small subunit ribosomal RNA", at positions 355 to 774 of the family's 1533-position model. The record is from RNAcentral.